GCUGGGUGUGGUGGUGAGCACCUGUAAUCCCAGCUACUUGGGAGGCUGAGGCAGAAGAAUCGCUUGAACCCGGGAGGCAGAGGUUGCAGUGAGCCGAGAUGGCGCCACUGCAUUCCAGCCUGGGUAACAGAGCAAGACUCUGUCUCAA
Molecule: unclassified non-coding RNA, 148 nt
Organism: Callithrix jacchus (white-tufted-ear marmoset)
Lineage: Eukaryota; Metazoa; Chordata; Mammalia; Primates; Cebidae
Rfam family: Metazoan signal recognition particle RNA
About the family: The signal recognition particle (SRP) is a universally conserved ribonucleoprotein. It is involved in the co-translational targeting of proteins to membranes. The eukaryotic SRP consists of a 300-nucleotide 7S RNA and six proteins: SRPs 72, 68, 54, 19, 14, and 9.
Source: Ensembl